AUUCUCUACUCUUAUUUUUGUUUUUCCUUCUAUGCAUUUUCAUUUCCUUCUUUCUCCUCCAGAUCACGGGUCAUCACUCACCUCCCCAUAACUUCUGCAUAGUUACCAUCUCCCCAUUUUAUCUAUAUUUUUCUUAUUUCUCUUAUUCUUUCUCUUUUUAUGUUUCUCUUCAUUCUUCAUCCUAAUUUCUAUAAAAAAAAUCAAUAAAAUCUUCUCUAUGCUACAAAAUUAUGCAAAAUCUAACAAUUCUACCUCUUUCUUUUAAUUAUUAUUCUUACCAUUCCAGUACUCCCAAAACUCCUCCCAUAAAUACAUCACAGAUAGCAUCAGGAAAGGGAGACCAAACCGACUAAAAGUAAAAAUUUGUUGUUUAGUCCUGAUUUCUCUGCAACAACAACUACAACAAAGCCCAUGCAAAAAUCUAGAUGGAGAGGAAAGGAGCCAAAAGAACAUAAGAAAAAGGCCCAAUUUUUUUUUUCAUUUCAAUUACCUAUAUUUUCAAUAACUUCUCUCUUUCUUCGGGGCAAACAAAGUUGUUUUGUUUCUCCAUUUAGGGAGGAUCCGUUGAAACCAAACUCAACCCGGAAAAAGUACCUUUAUUAGAGGAAGGCUAGUGGGUGAGGGAAGAAAUGCGGCCAGAAAAGCCAUUGGCCAUAACUGUGUUUCGAUUGAAUAUCUGAUUUGAUUCACUUCACUUCACAUCUUGCAUGAAUUGCUGCAUAUCUCUAUUGGUGCCAUAUAUAUAAGUCAGGUCGAAAAGAGUAACGCCUAAAAACAAAAGGAACGCGACCGGGACACGCUAGCGACAAGAAAAUGUCGAGUCAAGCAAAGGGUACAGUGGCUUCAACUAUAUAUAGCCAGAAAGAGCUCUAGAAAUAGAGGCUCUUUCCAUAUUUUUCCAGAAAAAAGGAAGAGAAAAAGCUUCUCUCUUGUAUCCUAGAAAACGAGGAAAUAACCUUGAAGAUUACAUGUAAAUUCACUUUUUCAUCAAUUGAUGAAAGGGAAAAAUUUAAUCUUAAUAAGAUCAAUCAUGCCUCUCUCAUUUCAGGUGAAAUCAUUGUCAUUAACGUUUCAAUCCGAAAUUAAUUAUAU
This is a non-coding RNA of Nicotiana tabacum (common tobacco), 1092 nucleotides long. The record is from RefSeq and is a predicted model, not a curated record. NCBI's taxonomy places the organism in Eukaryota, Viridiplantae, Streptophyta, Magnoliopsida, Solanales, Solanaceae.